RNAcentral lists this ribosomal RNA (253 nucleotides) under uncultured bacterium. Its description in RNAcentral is "partial 16S ribosomal RNA". It matches the Rfam family "Bacterial small subunit ribosomal RNA", at positions 524 to 776 of the family's 1533-position model. The record is from RNAcentral.
UACGUAGGUGGCAAGCGUUAUCCGGAAUUAUUGGGCGUAAAGAACGCGCAGGUGGUUAAUUAAGUCUGAUGUGAAAGCCCACGGCUUAACCGUGGAGGGUCAUUGGAAACUGGUUGACUUGAGUGCAGAAGAGGGAAGUGGAAUUCCAUGUGUAGCGGUGAAAUGCGUAGAGAUAUGGAGGAACACCAGUGGCGAAGGCGGCUUCCUGGUCUGCAACUGACACUGAGGCGCGAAAGCGUGGGGAGCAAACAGG